RNAcentral lists this ribosomal RNA (415 nucleotides) under uncultured bacterium. RNAcentral describes it as "bacterial SSU rRNA". It matches the Rfam family "Bacterial small subunit ribosomal RNA", at positions 123 to 518 of the family's 1533-position model. The record is from RNAcentral.
GACCUCGCCCUCGAGAUGGGGGAUAGCCAUUAGAAAUAGUGGAUAAUACCGAAUACGCUCAUGACCCUGGUGGGGAUAUGAGGAAAACAGGCUACGGCCUGGCUCGAGGAGUGGGCCCGCGUCCCAUUAGCUAGUUGGUGAGGUAACGGCCCACCAAGGCGACGAUGGGUAUCCGGCCUGAGAGGGUGUACGGACACAUUGGGACUGAGAUACCGGACCCAAACUCCUACGGGAGGCAGCAGCUAAGAAUAUUCCGCAAUGGACGAAAGUCUGACGGAGCGACGCCGCGUGGAUGAAAAGAAGGCCGGAAGGUUGUAAAAUCCUUUUGCUGAUGAAGAAUAAGUGUGGUAGGGAAUGACCGCAUGAUGACAUUAGUCGGUGAAUAAGCCCCGGCUAACUACGUGCCAGCCGCGGC